This 253-nucleotide ribosomal RNA is filed under the name uncultured bacterium. RNAcentral's name for it is "partial 16S ribosomal RNA". It matches the Rfam family "Bacterial small subunit ribosomal RNA", at positions 524 to 776 of the family's 1533-position model. The record is from RNAcentral.
GACAGAAGGUGCAAGCGUUACUCGGAAUUACUGGGCGUAAAGCGUCUGUAGGUGUCUUGCCACGUCCGGCCAUAAAUUGCGGGGCUCAACCCCGCAUCCUGGCUAGAAACGAGCGAGAUCGAGUCAUUCAGAGGCAUCUGGAAUGUCGUGUGUAGGGGUAAAAUCCGUAGAUACACGAUGGAACGCCGAAAGCGAAAGCAGGAUGCUGGGAAUGUACUGACACUCAGAGACGAAAGCGUGGGGAGCAAAGGGG